Lepidothrix coronata (blue-crowned manakin) is the source of this 517-nucleotide long non-coding RNA. RefSeq lists it as uncharacterized. NCBI's taxonomy places the organism in Eukaryota, Metazoa, Chordata, Aves, Passeriformes, Pipridae. The record is from RefSeq and is a predicted model, not a curated record. The transcript is spliced from 5 exons.
CACAGCUGGGGCCAUGAAGGACAGAGCAUCUGCAGAAGCUGUCAAGAAUUGAUGUGCCUUUGCCUCAAGUCGGAGUCUCCCGUUGGGUAUUUGUGUCCCAUGCUGCACUUGGUUCAGCCAUCUUUCAAGCUGCUCCAUGUCAGAUCAAGUGGAAAGGAGACCACAGCCAGCACAUGAGAGGCAGUCUGGCUGGGGAAGUGAGUAAAAGGAAGACAUGUUUGAGUGACGAGAUCAGCGAGGUGUCAUAGCAGCCCAGAUGGAUGAUUAGGCAAGAAGAUAGUAAAACAAAGGGAAGCACAUCUGUCUUCAAAGAUAUAAAACAGCUACAGACUGGGUACCCUGACGCAGGAGCACACCGACACUUGCUGACCCCCUUCUAUCAGCCUUGAAGCCCAGUGGAGCGGGACAGGUGGCCCAUAGGACUGCAUGAUGCUGAGGACACUCAGAAAGAAGCUGUUCUUACAUGUCUGACCAGCCUGCUCAGUGGACAUCCCGGUUUACCCCCCAGCAGAGACAG